GUGGGGAAUAUUGGACAAUGGGCGAAAGCCUGAUCCAGCCAUGCCGCGUGUGUGAAGAAGGUCUUCGGAUUGUAAAGCACUUUAAGCGAGGAGGAGGCUACCGAGAUUAAUACUCUUGGAUAGUGGACGUUACUCGCAGAAUAAGCACCGGCUAACUCUGUGCCAGCAGCCGCGGUAAUACAGAGGGUGCAAGCGUUAAUCGGAUUUACUGGGCGUAAAGCGCGCGUAGGUGGCCAAUUAAGUCAAAUGUGAAAUCCCCGAGCUUAACUUGGGAAUUGCAUUCGAUACUGGUUGGCUAGAGUAUGGGAGAGGAUGGUAGAAUUCCAGGUGUAGCGGUGAAAUGCGUAGAGAUCUGGAGGAAUACCGAUGGCGAAGGCAGCCAUCUGGCCUAAUACUGACACUGAGGUGCGAAAGCAUGGGGAGCAAACAGGAUUAGAUACCCCAGUAGUCC
RNAcentral lists this ribosomal RNA (451 nucleotides) under uncultured bacterium. RNAcentral describes it as "partial 16S ribosomal RNA". It matches the Rfam family "Bacterial small subunit ribosomal RNA", at positions 354 to 796 of the family's 1533-position model. The record is from RNAcentral.